Non-coding RNA from Microcebus murinus (gray mouse lemur), 376 nucleotides. NCBI's taxonomy places the organism in Eukaryota, Metazoa, Chordata, Mammalia, Primates, Cheirogaleidae. The record is from RefSeq and is a predicted model, not a curated record.
AAAGAGAUUGAAAGUCAGAUUGAAAUUCAGAUAAAGAGAUGAUGAACUGGCAGGUAGACUGAUAUGCAGUGUAUGUGCUGCCGAAGCGAGCACCACAUGGGUGAAAAUUUAAGCCACUAACCUCAUGACAUGCCCAGGGAAUCUCCCAUGUGUGGAAUGAGAGAAGAAAGGAAUCUAGGAGGGCCUUAUGUGGAAUAAAGACAUUCAAGGGACAGAUAGAUAAAAAGAACCUGCAAAGGAAUCUAAGAAGUGACCAGAGAAGCAGGAGAAAAAAAUGGAAAAGAAAAAUGGAAAAGCCAAUGGAAGAGUAUAUAUCAAGAAGAAUCAAUAGUGCUAAAUGUUGCUAAGAGGGGAAAUAAAAUAAAAGUAGAAAGUA